RNAcentral lists this ribosomal RNA (417 nucleotides) under Triticum aestivum (bread wheat). Its description in RNAcentral is "partial small subunit ribosomal RNA". The record is from RNAcentral. Lineage: Eukaryota; Viridiplantae; Streptophyta; Magnoliopsida; Poales; Poaceae.
AUGGCUCAUGAUAAUACCAAAUUGUGUGACUUUUCCAAUACCAACAAUAAUGAUUUUAUUAGCACUCCGAUUGCUCCUUUUACCGAUACUGAAUCUCGUGAAAUCAAUACCGCUUUGUUGAAUCUUGUUAUGAAAAAUCAAUUUUCUGUCCUUCCUAGUGAAGAUGCCUCUACCCAUCUAAACAGCUUCGUUGAUUUGUGUGAUAUGCAAAAGAAGAAAGAUGUGGAUAAUAAUAUUGUUAAAUUGAAGCUAUUUCCGUUUUCGCUUAGAGAUCGUGCUAAAACUUGUUUUUCUUCUUUGUGUAAAAAUGUAUUGAUUCAUGGAAUAAGUGCAAAGAUGCUUUUAUCUCUAAGUAUUUUCCUCCCGCUAAUAUCAUUGAUACGUCUUCAUUGUAUCUACUUUUCCAAACACUUUUGA